CUUGGUCAUUUAGAGGAAGUAAAAGUCGUAACAAGGUCUCCGUAGGUGAACCUGCGGAGGGAUCAUUACUGAGUGAGGGCCUUCGGGCUCGACCUCCAACCCUUUGUGAACACAACUUGUUGCUUCGGGGGCGACCCUGCCGUUUCGACGGCGAGCGCCCCCGGAGGCCUUCAAACACUGCAUCUUUGCGUCGGAGUUUAAGUAAAUUAAACAAAACUUUCAACAACGGAUCUCUUGGUUCUGGCAUCGAUGAAGAACGCAGCGAAAUGCGAUAAGUAAUGUGAAUUGCAGAAUUCAGUGAAUCAUCGAAUCUUUGAACGCACAUUGCGCCCCUUGGUAUUCCGAGGGGCAUGCCUGUUCGAGCGUCAUUUCACCACUCAAGCCUCGCUUGGUAUUGGGCGCCGCGGUGUUCCGCGCGCCUCAAAGUCUCCGGCUGAGCUGUCCGUCUCUAAGCGUUGUGAUUUCAUUAAUCGCUUCGGAGCGCGGGCGGUCGCGGCCGUUAAAUCUUUUACAAGGUUGACCUCGGAUCAGGUAGGGAUACCCGCUGAACUUAAGCAUAUCAAUAAGCGGAGGA
This 574-nucleotide ribosomal RNA is filed under the name uncultured fungus. Its description in RNAcentral is "eukaryotic LSU rRNA". The stretch from base 215 to 368 matches the Rfam family "5.8S ribosomal RNA". Lineage: Eukaryota; Fungi. The record is from RNAcentral.